Molecule: small RNA, 44 nt
Filed under: Arabidopsis thaliana (thale cress)
Lineage: Eukaryota; Viridiplantae; Streptophyta; Magnoliopsida; Brassicales; Brassicaceae
Description: ATSL239950
Source: RNAcentral
UGAAGCUAGAGGUGUGUGGGAGAAUGGGUUGGCACACACGGGUC